ACUUGGUAGAGUGAGUGCUCAAAGUCAGACUUACUUGCAGAGAAAAACCAACAGUUUAUUCUAAGUAUAUCUUACUAUGUCUAUAAUUGUAUCUGUGCUUGGCUUCUUCUAUAAUAUGUAAAGAAAGAUUCCUCUAGAGGAUGUUUCAGCAUGCUAAGUUAAAGACAUCUUCGUUUAGAAGGACGCUGUCACUCUCAAUGACUAAGAAAGUUGUGGAGAUUUUUCUUUUUCUACUUCACUUCCUGCCAAAGUGUAUAUAACAGAUAUAUAUCAGAAUAUACCAAGAAUUCAGCAGCCACGGCAUGACAGGGCACCUGUGUUAUGCCAGCGAGAAGGCUCAAGCAGAACAUAUCCCCUCUAUCCAUCUAAAGCAACAGCUACAAUUUUCUAGUUUCCAGUUUCCUGUGUGAAUUCCUCCUGGAGCAUAUAUCAAUGCUACUUUAACUUCAGGAUUAAUUCAAUGCUACUACUAAACCUUAUUUACUCAUCAUCUUUGACGUCACAUCCCAGGCAUUUUACCAGCAUCUCCUUUGGCAUCUGGAACAUAUUUCCAU
This 554-nucleotide long non-coding RNA is filed under the name Gallus gallus (chicken). RNAcentral's name for it is "long non-coding RNA NONGGAT004444". Lineage: Eukaryota; Metazoa; Chordata; Aves; Galliformes; Phasianidae. The record is from RNAcentral.